CAACGCCCUAGGCCGGGCCACGGCGGGGACCCUGUCCAGGUGGCCGGGAGGGUACAGGAAUCCCUCAGCCCCAAGUCCAUGGCUGGGGAGAAAUCCUCGGGUGGGGGCAGCAGCGUCAGGGCUGACCAUCCACCCCCCAGCCAUGAGCCCGGGGGCUCUGCUACCUGGGAGUCUCUGCUAAUUGGCCCCAGCGCCUCCCAGGCUGAACGUUGCUCAAACAUGUCAACCUUGCUGCUUGAUUGACAACCUGUCACUGUUUCGUGAGGUUUCUGAGGUGUUCCCGGGACUCAGCAACCUUGAAAGUUGGAUAAAGAACUCCAGGAAACUGGCAAGUCAGUCAGCGGCCAGAAGGUGAAGAGGCUGGGUGCAGUGGCUCACACCUGUAAUCCCAGCACUUUGGGAGGCCAAGGUGGGAGGAUCGCUUGAGCACAGGAAUUUGAGACCAGCCUGGGCAACAUAGAGAGAACCCCUCUCUACAAAAAAAAAAUUCACCGGGUGUGGCGGCACAUGCCUGUAGUCCCAGCUAUUCAGAAGGCUGAGGCAGGAGGAUUCCUUGAGUCCAGGAGUUUGAGGCAGCAGUGAGCUGGAAGUGAGGCGCUGGAGCCACAUCCCGCAGGCGCCAUAACGAAGGGACGUGAGGCCGCAACUGAUGAGCCAAUCCCCAUGCGCCUGCCACGCCAGCCACGCCCCUGCACUGCUGACCCCAGUGUGAGCCCCUGCCUCCAGCCCUGGCCUGACCGAAGCACCCAGCCCCAUCCCUGGUCACAAUGACCUCCUGCCAAGCUUUCAGCAGGCGUUUUCUCAGCAGCUCCCUGCAACAUUUAGUCACAAGCCCAUUUUUCAGGAGAGGAAACUGAGGCGCAGGGAGAGUGAGCCUGAGGGACCUGCCCUGGUGGGUGCAUACCCCCACAAGCCCUGGAUCCCCAAUCCACUGCCCAGGGGUGCACCCAAAGAGGUGGGUUUGGCCCUCCUGGACCACCCUGGAUCCUCUUGUGCAGGAGGGACUCCAAGUAGACUGAGGAGCUCUUCCCUUCCAGCAGUUGAGAUGUGGAGGGAGAAGGAAGAAGGGGGAGAGUGUUUACCAGCCAAGAGGACGUGGGAUGGGUGUGAGGCUGGCCUUUGAGGAGCAUGGACUGGGCGGGGACCUACCGGUGGGUUGUACAUGGGGAAGCCCAUGGGCCCCGAGCAGGGAACCUGGAAUAAUUGAACAUAAAAAUUCACAUGCAUUUGGCCAGGCGCAGUGGCUCACACCUGUGAUCCCAGCAUUUUGGGAGGCCGAGGUGGGAGGAUCACUUGAGGUCAGGAGUUUGAGACCAGUCUGGCUAACAUGGCGAAACCCCGUCUCUACUAAAAAUACAAAAAAAUUAGCCAGGCGUGGUGGCGCACGCCUAUAGUCCCAGCUACUUGGGAGGCUGAGGCAGGAGAAUUGCUUGAACCCAGGAGGUGGAGGUUAC
RNAcentral lists this long non-coding RNA (1454 nucleotides) under Homo sapiens (human). Its description in RNAcentral is "HSALNT0275397". Lineage: Eukaryota; Metazoa; Chordata; Mammalia; Primates; Hominidae. The record is from RNAcentral.